This 1998-nucleotide long non-coding RNA is filed under the name Homo sapiens (human). RNAcentral's name for it is "HSALNT0387513". Lineage: Eukaryota; Metazoa; Chordata; Mammalia; Primates; Hominidae. The record is from RNAcentral.
GCAGCACAGUGUGCUUUUGAGUUCCGGUGAACGGGGUGCUCUGGCUGGAGCCUAGUGCGAAGUUUCCCCUUCUCCGCCCAUUCCUCAUCCCUCAGGGCACACAGGUCACCUUUCCUCGCCUUCUCGUCCCCACCUCUAAGGCUUGGCCAAAGUUUCUUCAUAAAAGCAAGAAAGAUAACGAAAGAGCCCCCCAUGGGUUAUGGUUUUUGUGGGGCCAGGAAUGCCCAGUUUGAACCUCCAGUUCCGCCACCUGUAGCCGAGUGAAAGAGGCUGGGUUAUUCAGACACCCCAAGCCUCAGUUUCCCCACUUGUUGUGAGGCUUGAGUGUGCUAACACAUCAAGGCAACCCAGAACAGCGCUUGGCAGAGACUCGCAGUUUAUCACUGUGAACUGUCGUUAUUGGAAAGUGGGUGGAGUCGGGUUUGGAUUCCCCCAGGAGCAGAGACAGAAACAAAAGGAUUCAAGUGUGAAGAUAGAAGCUUCCUCCAGUGAAGCAGCAGCCCCGGCACUGGGCCUGCAGUGGAGACCGGGAAUGAGAGAAGCCCCUGGCGUGGGCUGGCAAGGACGCAGAGCACGGAGAGCACCUGGGGCAGGGCCGGCGCCAACGGCAUAACACAUGCUGCUGCUCCUCUCCCGCGGGGCCCAUGGAGAUGGCUGGAAGCAGCCCAACGUCAGGGCAGAUCCCUACCUUCACACUCACAUAAGAGAAGAGUGAAGUUUCGGGGACUCCACACCUCAAGGUAGUUCCACCGUGCGAGGUGCUGCGCUCACAGUAUUACUCAUGCACCUUUCUGAUAAGAAAAGUGAAAAUGUGAAGUUGAAAACUGAAGACGCCCAGCAACUUCCUGAAUCCAGCCCUCCACGUCCUGCCCUACGGGACGGACGACUCCCAAAGAGGAAUCGUUGGUGGAAGUCCCAUGUUUCGUUGCCGUUGGAAGGGGGAACUGGUCAAGGCAGGUUCGGUUUCAGGAUCUCACCUCACCUGGGAGCGGGGAGGUGACGGUCCCCCAGCGGGGCAGUCACGCCGCCCUGGCCUUGAGGCCGGACUCCACACUGCGCUUGGCUAGGGUGGUCCGUCCCUCUCUUGGCCACCUGUGUCGGGCAGCCUGACGCCGCAUCUUCCUGAGCAGCUGUCGGCGUUGCCGUGUGGCAGCCACGCUGUUGCAACAUGAGCGGCUGAGGUUUCUGAGGCCCCUCCGGCCAGAAGCUGGCCCAGGUGCUGUGGGCAAGACAUGUGCGAGAGACUGAAUUAGACCCCCUUGGAAAAAAAAACCACGCACACAAACACCAUCCUGCCUUUUUUUUUUUCAGGGCUCAUCUCUGGACCCACACCCCAUAACCAACAUGGAAGCCUGGAUUUGGCCCUGGAUCAGGCUGGCUCCCCAGGGAAGGGUCCAGUCUCUCCGGGGAGACAUCCCGACUUCGGGUCCUGCUUUCUCUACUGUAAUUCGAGGCUGGCCAUGCCCCUCAGUGGGCCUCAGUUUCCUCACCUGUACAGUGGGGAAAUCCAUAGGACCUACCUCCUGGGAGGGCACUGAGGACCGAGGGAAUGAAUGCCUGUCCAGUGCUCAUGAUCGUGACAAGCACUGCGCAGAAUAAAUCCGGAAUAAACGCUCACCGGGUGAGGGAGGGCAGGGAAGAUUUCUAAAAUCCCCCUGAUUUGAGAUGAGAUCUGAUUCACCCACUUAAAAAACCACAUUGGGAAAUAAUUUGAAAUGUACAGGAAAGUUGUAAGAAUCGCACAAAGAAUACUCCCAAACGUUUUGCCCAUACUCACCUGUUUUCUGUGGCAACUUUGAGACAGAAUUCACACGCCAUACAGUUGACCCAUCUCAACUGUACAAUUCAAUGGCCUUUCAUAGUCAGAGUUGUGCAACUGUCACCAGGGUCAAUUUUAGAACGUUUUCAUCACUCUCCUCUCACAAAAAACCCCUCACGUCCCUUGGCUGUCACUCUGCACCUAUUAAUAUUUUUUUGUGUUAAGACUUUUUCUUUGAG